AUGAAGUCGGAAUUGCUAGUAAUCGCGGAUCAGCAUGCCGCGGUGAAUACGUUCUCGGGCCUUGUACACACCGCCCGUCACACAUGGGAGUCGGUAACACCCGAAGUCUGUAGCCUGACGCAAGAGGGCGCAGCCGAAGGUGGGAUUGAUGACUGGGGUGAAGUCGUAACAAGGUACC
Molecule: ribosomal RNA, 178 nt
Filed under: uncultured bacterium
Lineage: Bacteria
Description: partial 16S ribosomal RNA
Rfam family: Bacterial small subunit ribosomal RNA
Source: RNAcentral